CCCACCCUCGCGGGCCGCCGGGCUUUCCCUUGUCCCUCCGGGAAGCGCCUCCCGACGCGGCUCAGGGGGGGACGGCGCAGCAGGAUCGCGUAGCGCGGCGCUUCGAGGCCACGAAGGUUCUCACAUGGUGUCUUUGAGGGAAGACUGUGUUUUCUUUGGAGACCAGAUAAUCAAAGGCAGCGCAGCUUUCUGCUUUUUUGGAAUGCUGGCUCUCAGCGCCCAGUCAUAUGCCAGGAAAAAAUCCAGGCAGCCCGUGAAGAAGCCCAUGCAGAGAACAUGGACUGAGCCCGGAACUCAGCUGCACUCUCGGCCAGGAGCCAGCACUUGCUUGCCAGCCAUGGAGU
Molecule: non-coding RNA, 344 nt
Organism: Myodes glareolus (Bank vole)
Lineage: Eukaryota; Metazoa; Chordata; Mammalia; Rodentia; Cricetidae
Source: RefSeq, a predicted model, not a curated record